UGACACGUUUUUCUGGCGGACGAGUUGC
Molecule: small RNA, 28 nt
Filed under: Bombyx mori (domestic silkworm)
Lineage: Eukaryota; Metazoa; Arthropoda; Insecta; Lepidoptera; Bombycidae
Description: ovarian small RNA-31349
Source: RNAcentral